UGGGGAAUAUUGCACAAUGGGGGAAACCCUGAUGCAGCGACGCCGCGUGAGUGAAGAAGUAUUUCGGCAUGUAAAGCUCUAUCAGCAGGGACGAAAGAAGUUGAAAAAUACUUCCUGACGGUACCUGACUGAGAAGCCACGGCUAACUAAGUGCCAGCAGCCGCGGUAAUACGUAGGGGGCAAGCGUUAUCCGGAUUUACUGGGUGUAAAGGGAGCGUAGGUGGUAUGGUAAGUCAGGUGUGAAAGCCCGGGGCUCAACUCCGGGAUUGCAUUUGAAACUACCAAACUAGAGUGCAGGAGAGGUAAGUGGAAUUCCUAGUGUAGCGGUGAAAUGCGUAGAUAUUAGGAGGAACACCAGUGGCGAAGGCGGCUUACUGGACUGUAACUGACACUGAGGCUCGAAAGCGUGGGGAGCAAACAGG
This 422-nucleotide ribosomal RNA is filed under the name uncultured prokaryote. RNAcentral describes it as "bacterial SSU rRNA". It matches the Rfam family "Bacterial small subunit ribosomal RNA", at positions 355 to 776 of the family's 1533-position model. The record is from RNAcentral. RNAcentral also lists the same sequence under 1 other name.